GAUUACGGCGGGCGCUGCGUGUGGCCGUCAGGCCCUCCGGCUUUCUCUUUUUUGUCCGGGAGUUCCAAGCACGCAUCGCCCGCCACCCUC
Molecule: non-coding RNA, 90 nt
Filed under: Stenotrophomonas sp. CC22-02
Lineage: Bacteria; Pseudomonadati; Pseudomonadota; Gammaproteobacteria; Lysobacterales; Lysobacteraceae
Source: RNAcentral